Molecule: ribosomal RNA, 853 nt
Filed under: Alternaria arborescens
Lineage: Eukaryota; Fungi; Ascomycota; Dothideomycetes; Pleosporales; Pleosporaceae
Description: partial large subunit ribosomal RNA
Rfam family: Eukaryotic large subunit ribosomal RNA
Source: RNAcentral
CCAACAGGGAUUGCCCUAGUAACGGCGAGUGAAGCGGCAACAGCUCAAAUUUGAAAUCUGGCUCUUUUAGAGUCCGAGUUGUAAUUUGCAGAGGGCGCUUUGGCUUUGGCAGCGGUCCAAGUUCCUUGGAACAGGACGUCACAGAGGGUGAGAAUCCCGUACGUGGUCGCUGGCUAUUGCCGUGUAAAGCCCCUUCGACGAGUCGAGUUGUUUGGGAAUGCAGCUCUAAAUGGGAGGUACAUUUCUUCUAAAGCUAAAUAUUGGCCAGAGACCGAUAGCGCACAAGUAGAGUGAUCGAAAGAUGAAAAGCACUUUGGAAAGAGAGUCAAACAGCACGUGAAAUUGUUGAAAGGGAAGCGCUUGCAGCCAGACUUGCUUACAGUUGCUCAUCCGGGUUUUUACCCGGUGCACUCUUCUGUAGGCAGGCCAGCAUCAGUUUGGGCGGUAGGAUAAAGGUCUCUGUCACGUACCUCCUUUCGGGGAGGCCUUAUAGGGGAGACGACAUACUACCAGCCUGGACUGAGGUCCGCGCAUCUGCUAGGAUGCUGGCGUAAUGGCUGUAAGCGGCCCGUCUUGAAACACGGACCAAGGAGUCUAACAUCUAUGCGAGUGUUUGGGUGUCAAGCCCGAGCGCGUAAUGAAAGUGAACGGAGGUGGGAACCCGCAAGGGUGCACCAUCGACCGAUCCUGAUGUCUUCGGAAGGAUUUGAGUAAGAGCAUGGCUGUUGGGACCCGAAAGAUGGUGAACUAUGCUUGAAUAGGGUGAAGCCAGAGGAAACUCUGGUGGAGGCUCGCAGCGGUUCUGACGUGCAAAUCGAUCGUCAAAUUUGGGCAUAGGGGGCGAAAGACUAAU